CAACAUUUGUGCCUGCCUGCUAGUCGUGGAUCUUGUCGGGUAGCUGCUACAUACAUAUUUUAGUGAAACGGCGCAGACAUUGCCGCAUACUCCGAUUAGACAUCAACUCAAAGUGAUACUGAGUUUCGAUUUUUAUUGUGUUACCGUGGCCGGUGUGUCUUUCCUUAAGUUUUGCGGUGAACUGCAACGGGGAUGUUAUAAUAACUACUUGACGUUCUAUUCGGUAAAUUCUCGCUGGCGCUGGACUAUGAAAGCUUACAGGUCCGCAAGUUGUCGAGCGACACUUGUCGCCUGAAUGGUAGCCUAUUCACUUUUACUGCGUCCCUGUCUGUAGAACUCGAUCAGAUAUCUAGCCUGUUAUCGCAUGUCAUCCGUUAUGAUCAGACACUUUCCAACUGCACGCUAAGCUAACGUUACCCUCUGAAAUGGAACAACAGACUUCAACUCCAUCUGAUCUGGUGGCUUUCUGACUUCACUUAAAAGGCUAUGAGUUUACAGUGAGAGCAUUUUCUUCAUUCAUCCCUUUUAGUGGAAUUCUAAGCAGUGGCCCUGAGCUUUUCCAUGCCCCCACAGAAAGCGGUGACCUUUGGUUUAUGCAUACUUUAUCUGGCAAUAUUUAGACUUGUUAAACUGUCUUUGGCAGUGGCUUAGAAGCCCCCUCAGCCACUUCUGGAAGGAUUGGCUGUCACACACCCCUGCCUCCCAGUACUGAGCCUGCCUGUGGCAUUUAGUGUGCAACAGCACUGGAAUGUUUUUUUUUUUCACUCUUCUGGAUCACUCCUUUACCUUGCCAACUGGGAACGGCUGACUAUGUACAUAUAUUUCCCUUUUCUGUAAUGUUGACUGGCAAAGUACCCCACAGCAUCGGUCCCUCCAGAUAGUUCCUUCCUAUAAAAGGGUUCCCAUUAUCAACAGUGUAGAGGACUAAUACUCAAGACUUUGAGUGCCUCACAGAAUAGUGGAUUAAAGCCAUAGGGUGUUGUGGAAAAAAGGGGAAAACAAGCAAACAUAAAUAAUAGCCUGAUGGUGUUACUUCAUACAAGGUUCAGCAAUAAUCUUUCUGGACAUUUUUAGAAAAAGAAGAGAGAACCUUACGAAAACAGAUGCCAAACCUUUGGUAAACUGUCAGUUAACAAUUCUUCCCAUUAUUAAUUGACUAUGAAUUCUUACAAAGUUGUGGUUUGUAUACUGUAUGUUUGUUAUUUUGUUAAAUUUGAUUUAGUCUAAACUGUUAUUUGUAAUGUUAUGUAAUGUUUAUUGAUGUCUUUGUAAACCACAUUGUAUGAAAGCGUCUGUGAAGUGCCAUAAACAUAAAUACAGAUAUAAGAGGCCUGGAAAAAUACCAUGGUAACUCUUGAUUAAAAAAAUGAAAUGUUUUAUUUGAA
Molecule: long non-coding RNA, 1385 nt
Organism: Alosa sapidissima (American shad)
Lineage: Eukaryota; Metazoa; Chordata; Actinopteri; Clupeiformes; Clupeidae
Exons: 2
Source: RefSeq, a predicted model, not a curated record